Molecule: ribosomal RNA, 440 nt
Filed under: uncultured bacterium
Lineage: Bacteria
Description: bacterial SSU rRNA
Rfam family: Bacterial small subunit ribosomal RNA
Source: RNAcentral
AACGCGAAGAACCUUACCUACCCUUGACAUGCCUCGAAUCCUGCAGAGAUGUGGGAGUGCCUGAAAGGGAACGAGGACACAGGUGCUGCAUGGCUGUCGUCAGCUCGUGUCGUGAGAUGUUGGGUUAAGUCCCGCAACGAGCGCAACCCUUGCCAUUAGUUGCGACAUUUAGUUGAGCACUCUAAUGGGACUGCCGGUGACAAACCGGAGGAAGGUGGGGAUGACGUCAAGUCCUCAUGGCCCUUAUGGGUAGGGCUUCACACGUCAUACAAUGGCCGGUACAGAGGGUUGCCAACCCGCGAGGGGGAGCCAAUCCCAGAAAGCCGGUCGUAGUCCAGAUUGUAGUCUGCAACUCGACUACAUGAAGUCGGAAUCGCUAGUAAUCGCGGAUCAGCAUGUCGCGGUGAAUACGUUCCCGGGCCUUGUACACACCGUACGUC